GAAAGACAUUGAGGGGGUUCCUGAGGUUCCUUUUCUGCCAGCAGCUCCUUCAGUCCCUCUUCUCUCCAAUUCCAGAUCCAGAUAUGGUUCCAGAAUAGAAGGGGGAAGCACCGGAGACUUUAUACUGGAGACAGGACACCUGGGAGCAGCCUCUGUACCCUGCAGAGCCAGUUAUGUGUAGACCCCAGACAUGAUCCAUUCUCCCUGUUUCAUUGUCUCUGCAGGGACCAGCAAGCUCUGCCUUUGACUCCAGAAUCGACCUGCCUCCCCUCCAGCCAGCUCUCAGCUGUAGUUCCAGGGCUACAGCACACAUGCCCCAGAAACCAGCAUAGAAACCUCUCCCCCUGCUGUGCAACCAGUGGCUAUUGACUCUCCUUCCUCCACUAUCCGCAGGUUCAGUCCAUGCAGUCUCUGACUGGAGCUGUCACUGUUAAUCACUCUGCUCUCUUCAUGGACACAUGUUAACACAUAGGAAGUAACUUCAGCUUUCCUGUCUGGACUCCCCAGUGGCUCUGUUUCCCAGCCUGAGGCAGGGAGUUCACAGGCUCUUCCAUUCCCGAGGAAUAUCUGACACUCUUCACUCAUGAAAGCACCAAGAUUCCUUCAGGCUCUAAGCUAAAAGCUGGGCAGAGGGAGAGGGAAAGAGCUGUGGUUUAGGUGUUUGUAGAAUGCUGGGAGGGUCUCUCUCAUUUCAGUGAUGCUUUUCUGCAGUUAGAGUGAAUCUAUUGUCUUAUUGUGGUUUUGCUAAUUUAUAAUAAACCUGUUUUAAAUAA
Long non-coding RNA from Mauremys reevesii (Reeves's turtle), 773 nucleotides. RefSeq lists it as uncharacterized. The transcript has 2 exons. The record is from RefSeq and is a predicted model, not a curated record. Lineage: Eukaryota; Metazoa; Chordata; Testudines; Geoemydidae.